Molecule: ribosomal RNA, 230 nt
Filed under: uncultured bacterium
Lineage: Bacteria
Description: partial 16S ribosomal RNA
Rfam family: Bacterial small subunit ribosomal RNA
Source: RNAcentral
AAAGAGCUCGUAGGCGGACUGUUGCGUCUGCUGUGAAAAGCUGGGGCUUAACCCUGGCCUUGCAGUGGAUACGGGCAGACUAGAGGUAGGUAGGGGAGAAUGGAAUUCCCGGUGUAGCGGUGAAAUGCGCAGAUAUCGGGAGGAACACCGGUGGCGAAGGCGGUUCUCUGGGCCUUACCUGACGCUGAGGAGCGAAAGCGUGGGGAGCGAACAGGAUUAGAUACCCCAGU